GUAACACUCUGGGAGGGCUCAGGCCACAUCACGAAAUGUGACAGGAUAGCCUUGAACUCAUCAAUUGCUGGGUAAGAAAGAAUUUUAAUGCAAUGGCAAACAACCAAUCAAACAAGCAAACAAAAACAAUAAACCCUUCCUUGAGGACCAAGAAGACAUUGAUUAGCUAACCUAAGAGCUCCAGGUGGAGACCUAGGUCCUGAUUGGGUUUCUGAAUUUGACCACUAGGCAGAAAACUAGCACCCAAAACCAGUUGGAAUAAAAUUACCCACCUACAGUGGAGCCAAGGCCCCCAGAUCCUUUUUGUCAGGGGCACCUCAAACUCAACUCCAAAAUUGAUCUAAUGAACUUUCCCAAACCACAUUCCCUUCUUGCAUUUCUGAGAGAAUGGAUUCCCAUUCAUCUGACUACAGUGCUACCCUGAAAGCAGAUCCAGAGACUAAGAUUCACCUGCAGGUGAUUCAUUUGCAAGGUAAGCUGUCAUCAGUUGGAGGUAAGCGGAAGACAGUAGAGAGUACAGAGCCCUGGACUGUGACUCAGAGGAUGAGCACCAGAUCCAGUUUGCUGUGCCACAGUGUCCUGAAGAUUUUCCUCAGAUAAUCUUUCAUCUCUUUGUUCCUGAGACUAUAUAUUAGAGGAUUACAGAGUGGUGUUAUCACAGAAAAGAACAAGUGGAUUUUUAUCUGAGAUCUACAACUUAUGAAGAAUACAAAUGAUGUAUAUUCUUUUCUACUCUUCAUGUAUGGACUAGAGGGGCUUGCACAUAAGAAAAAAAUGGCUGAGACCCACAGGAACAAAGAAACAGGACAGGAGUUAGAUGCAGAGAAGAGAUUUCAACAAAAGUUUGGAAAAGAUGCUAACGGUAGCAUAUGAGUCACAGACAGAACAUUGGCACCUUUGUUUAAGAAACUGAAUGUUAAUGUCACAUCUGCCUUUGGAGAUUACAAAUGAAAUGGCUACCUUUCUACUGGAACCCUGACCAGAAGUCUGCCAGUUAGUAAGCUGGCUUAAGAGAUCAAUCUAAAAUUUACAUAAGGCUUUUGAAAAAAAGAAAAAAGAACCCAAAGGCACAGAUUGACGUUAUAAGUCCUGAUUUUUGACUUGACUUCUCAUCACCUGGAAGUGAAUAAAGCAGUAGACUUCUCUAACAUUUUGUAACACAGCAUGAAAAAAUAUAGAGUACAAAAGAUAUAUAUAUAUAAUAUGAUAAAAUGAUGAGUUACGUUUCUAAAUCUUUUAUCAUCUUACUGUCAUUUCUCUAUAUUUGGUCUAGCCAGACUUCUAUUCAUUUUGUCACUUAUCUUUCAUCAAACUAGGGCUGAUGCUCUUGGGAAAGGGACCACUGAUUUGAUAUGCUCUUCAAACACCAGCACACUGUACUAUAUAGAAAGAUAUUCACUGAAAAUACUGAAGCUAGUAAUACAAAGGAAAAAGGCAUAAAAAU
Molecule: long non-coding RNA, 1444 nt
Filed under: Homo sapiens (human)
Lineage: Eukaryota; Metazoa; Chordata; Mammalia; Primates; Hominidae
Description: HSALNT0379781
Source: RNAcentral